GACGAACGCUGGCGGCGUGCCUAAUACAUGCAAGUCGAGCGGACAGAUGGGAGCUUGCUCCCUGAUGUUAGCGGCGGACGGGUGAGUAACACGUGGGUAGCCUGCCUGUAAGACUGGGAUAACUCCGGGAAACCGGGGCUAAUACCGGAUGUUUGUUUGAACCGCAUGGUUCAGACAUAAAAGGUGGCUUCGGCUACCACUUACAGAUGGACCCGCGGCGCAAUAGCUAGUUGGUGAGGUAACGGCUCACCAAGGCAACGAUGCGUAGCCGACCUGAGAGGUGAUCGGCCACACUGGGACUGAGACACGGCCCAGACUCCUACGGGAGGCAGCAGUAGGGAAUCUUCCGCAAAUGGACGAAAAGUCUGACGGAGCAACGCCGCGUGAGUGAGUGAAGGUUUUCGGAUCGUAAAGCUCUGUUGUUA
This 425-nucleotide ribosomal RNA is filed under the name uncultured bacterium. RNAcentral's name for it is "bacterial SSU rRNA". It matches the Rfam family "Bacterial small subunit ribosomal RNA", at positions 28 to 441 of the family's 1533-position model. The record is from RNAcentral.